CCUACGGGCGGCAGCAGUGGGGGAUAUUGCACAAUGGGGGAAACCCUGAUGCAGCGACGCCGCGUGGGUGAAGAAGCGCCUCGGCGCGUAAAGCCCUGUCAGCAGGGAAGAAAAUGACGGUCCCUGAAGAAGAAGCCCCGGCUAACUACGUGCCAGCAGCCGCGGUAAUACGUAGGGGGCAAGCGUUAUCCGGAUUUACUGGGUGUAAAGGGGGCGCAGACGGCGGUGCAAGCCAGGAGUGAAAGCCCGGGGCCCAACCCCGGGCCUGCUCUUGGAACUGCGUGGCUAGAGUGCAGGAGGGGCAGGCGGAAUUCCUGGUGUAGCGGUGAAAUGCGUAGAUAUCAGGAGGAACACCGGUGGCGAAGGCGGCCUGCUGGACUGCAACUGACGUUGAGGCCCGAAAGCGUGGGGAGCAAACAGGAUUAGAUACCCGAGUAGUC
RNAcentral lists this ribosomal RNA (440 nucleotides) under uncultured bacterium. RNAcentral's name for it is "partial 16S ribosomal RNA". It matches the Rfam family "Bacterial small subunit ribosomal RNA", at positions 338 to 795 of the family's 1533-position model. The record is from RNAcentral.